CCUACGGGUGGCUGCAGUGGGGAAUAUUGGACAAUGGGGGGAACCCUGAUCCAGCGACGCCGCGUGAGUGAAGAAGUAUUUCGGGAUGUAAAGCUCUAUCAGCAGGGAAGAAAAUGACGGUACCUGACUAAGAAGCCCCGGCUAACUACGUGCCAGCAGCCGCGGUAAGACGUAGGGGGCAAGCGUUAUCCGGAUUUACUGGGUGUAAAGGGAGCGUAGACGGUGCCGCAAGUCUGAUGUGAAAGGUCGGGGCCCAACCCCGGGACUGCCUUGGAAACUGUUGAACUGGAGUACAGGAGAGGUCAGCGGAAUUCCUCGUGUAGCGGUUACCUGCGUAGCUAUUAGGAG
This 348-nucleotide ribosomal RNA is filed under the name uncultured bacterium. RNAcentral describes it as "partial 16S ribosomal RNA". It matches the Rfam family "Bacterial small subunit ribosomal RNA", at positions 338 to 703 of the family's 1533-position model. The record is from RNAcentral.